UUUGUACUUAGUUGACGGUACACCUGUUUAAAAUGUAACGAAAUUUUAUUAAUUAUAAAUGUGGAGUUGUAAAAAGUUUGAGGGAGCAAAUUUGGAAGUUAUAGUGAAGUACAGUCAGCAGGUGUUUUCAAUUAUUAAAUUUAUUACAGGAUGUUUGGAGUUGAAGUUAAAAGUUGAAGUUUAAAAUAAAUAAAAUUAAUAUUAAAUAGUUUCUUGACGUGGUUGGGUACAGUCAGUCACAAUUAUUGUUGUUGACUUACGUUUUUUUUUAAAUAACUUACCGAUAUUCAAAUAGCCGUUUACCUUUAAGGUCGAAUCUUAUUGUAGUAGUUUCCACAAUUGUUUCGUACGGGAGUUAUGUUUAUUACCUACUUUUCCUUAUCUAUUGUCUCGACUUAAAUCGAGUUUUUUCCUUAUUGUUGUUAUUUUAGGUGAAGUAAAUAUUUACUUAUUAGUUAAUUAUCGGUGAUUGCGCGUUUUUUUUGUUGAUGUUCGGUAGGAGUUUUUUUUAUGGUUGCGUGCAGGAGUUUUGUUUACGUAUUACUUUCUUUCGAUCGUGUCUGAGCAAACGUAACUCAGGCACGUGGUUUGUUUGUUGUUGGGGGGCGAAGAGGACGAUUUAAAGACUCUUCGCGUGUUUUACCGGGGUGCUGGCGUUUUAAACCAGUAUUCCAAUCGGCACUGGCUGGUCGGGUUCUGGCGGACUUUAAACCGUCAGGCUCUUAAUAGCAGUGCCAUCUUCUUUGUUAACGCUUUGCGGUAUGACUUAAAUCAUAUGCGUGAACGUUAAUGUUGAUGUUAGGGGGUUGUUAUGUGGUACACGCCUUAAAGCGUUGUCCGCAAACAUCGGAUUUUUUUUGUCAGACUGACAGACUUGCAUUGCCUGAAAUGGAGCCUGUACAGUCGACUUCCUUGUGUGUCUCGUGUUGUUUCGAACGUUACCGUCUGCCUGUCGUUUAGACACAGCUGGUCAAUGUAUCAUGUGUUGUGUUAUUGUCUGAUUUCCGCGUUCAGACCUGUGACGUCUGACAGUCACGGCCUGAUAUGCGCGCUAGGUAUAUUUGAAUUAGUUGUAUUAGUUGUAGUAGCAGUCACCGAUCUUAGUUAGUAAAUUUCACUUGGCUAUAUGCCGUCUUCCGCUGUAUCUCUUGGACGCAUAACCCGCGGCUUGGGCCGUUCGUUAUGCCACCAAGAAAUAUACGCGAUGCGACGUUUCGUGGUAAUGUAGCUUAGAGCUUUACUUGCGUACGUCAAGUCUUUAUAAAGUAAGUCUUGUUUAGUGCGUGGGUUCGAUUUUUUUUUGUUAGUUAGUUUUUUUUACCGGUAGGUAAUUGUCUAGGUACUUUCCGCGGGUGGUUUUGCGAACUGGGGACCAGCUCAAAAUUUUGCCGUAGUCAAAAUUUUCUUCGGGAAGGGGAGCACUGUAACAACAAAAUUUUAAUUCUUCAUUUUUUUUUCAAUAUUGAACAGUAUGUGACCCUGACCCAUAUUCGUUUGAUACCCUUAACGCCAUCUAGCGAGCUCAGUCGAUAACAACAUGGUCCGGGUUGCUAGAUUAAAAAUAAUUUCGGUGCCUUCCUACAUUUUUGGUUUUUUUAAUCGCAGGUCGUUGUAAAUUAAAAUUGUCUUCAAAUAUUUUUUUUAUUCGUCGGCGCGUUGUAUUCAAUAUUAUUCUAAGCAAACUAAAUAGGAAAGAAAGCGUUUUUUUUGUCAAGUCAUGUGGUGUUCGGCCGAGCCCCGUUCGGACUCUGGUAACCCCGUCGUUUGAUCUGUCACCGAUGGCUCGCCACGUAGCUAGCCGUUCUUUUUGGAUUUGGAAGAGAUCGUAGCAAGGUGGUUCGUUUCCUUUGCCCAGCGGCCUGGUGCUGUCUGAUGGCUUCUACCUAUAUCGCGGUUUAAGCCGCCUAAUCCUCGUUGGAUGUGAAUCGUCCUGGAAAUUGAAGCCCCGGGUGCAUUGAAAUUAUGCAAGUCCUUUCCUACGCCCGCUUAUUGUCUGCCCCGGGUAAGCAGCGACCUACUCGCAGUCCAGUAUAUUUAUUCGAUUCUGUGAAUGUCUGUUCCGUUACUUAGUAGUUUUAUAAAUUUCAGGGUUUCAAGAUUUACCGUCUUUAUUACGAGUUUACGGGGUGGCCUCAAAAUGCCAGCUUCUGCAAGCCGAGCUACCAGUGGCAAGGAGCUGUGCCUGGCGUUUCCAUACUUCCACGCAGAGGUUCCUGACCAACGUGGCGGUUGUAUUGUUUACGGUCUUUCGAAGUUUUGGAGGUUAGAUCGACCCUUUAUCUAAUAUGUAUUACUGAACCAGAGAUGCUGGUUCUGGCGCCCUCAUACCCUUAGUAACUUUUAAGUUUGUCCGUCAGUAGGCCGCUUCUACCAAAACAUUUUAAAAAAGAGUUCGCUAUACCCAUAACUGUUCCCUCAACACUUAAAUAAGAGUCUGAUGCUCAUGUUAUUUAGAUAAGAGCUAGUUUACCUUAAGUUCCUGUCAUUAAGGCCCUUAAGGCUCUCCGGGUUAGUUUUGAAAUUAUUUAAAUAAAUGUUUUAUUCAUA
Long non-coding RNA from Cydia fagiglandana, 2547 nucleotides. RefSeq lists it as uncharacterized. The transcript is spliced from 2 exons. The record is from RefSeq and is a predicted model, not a curated record. NCBI's taxonomy places the organism in Eukaryota, Metazoa, Arthropoda, Insecta, Lepidoptera, Tortricidae.